This 253-nucleotide ribosomal RNA is filed under the name uncultured bacterium. RNAcentral's name for it is "partial 16S ribosomal RNA". It matches the Rfam family "Bacterial small subunit ribosomal RNA", at positions 524 to 776 of the family's 1533-position model. The record is from RNAcentral.
UACAGAGGGUGCAAGCGUUGUUCGGAAUUAUUGGGCGUAAAGGGCGCGUAGGCGGGCUGCUGCGUCCGGGGUGAAAUCCCACGGCUCAACCGUGGAACGGCCUCGGAUACGGGCGGCCUCGAGGGGGGUAGGGGCAUCUGGAACUGUGAGUGGAGCGGUGAAAUGCGUUGAUAUUCACAGGAACUCCGGUGGCGAAGGCGAGGUGCUGGACCCCUUCUGACGCUGAGGCGCGAAAGCCAGGGGAGCGAACGGG